CAGAACACACCGCUGCCUCUCUUCCUCCAUCUCCUCCUCCUUCAACUAUCAGAUCUCAAAAUUACCAUCAGAACCAAACCACUCCAUCCAACCAUCAGAACCAAACUAUCUCCUUCGUCGUUCAUCAGCAGUUCGACAACACCAAUCUCAUCAGACCUCAAACAAAAAAAUCAAACCCAAUCCAAAAUCAAAUCUCAUCAUCCCACCCCCAGAACCCCAAAAAUCAAAUCCAAAACCAAAAUUUCAUCAUCUCGAAACCCAUUAAGAAUCAAAUCGUAUCCCACCUUCCCGAGCCGUCGCCGUUCUAGGUUAUCAACAUAAUAAAUCACGUCCUGGGUCGUCAACGCCGACGCCGUCUACAUCGCCUUCCUCGAACCCUAACCUAGUCGCAUCCACAUUGGCCUCUCGCUCUUCCAUUUUCGCUCUAGGUGUGGAGAGUCAAAGAGGAUAGAGAAGACUAGAAGAGAAGGGGGAAGGACCAAGAGAUAAAUGGGGAGAGGUGUGGGGAGGUUAGUGGAGGAGGAGAUGGAGGAAGAGAGGCAGCGAU
Molecule: long non-coding RNA, 547 nt
Filed under: Malus domestica (apple)
Lineage: Eukaryota; Viridiplantae; Streptophyta; Magnoliopsida; Rosales; Rosaceae
Description: long non-coding RNA (MDOM_LNC010701)
Source: RNAcentral